Molecule: long non-coding RNA, 1312 nt
Filed under: Homo sapiens (human)
Lineage: Eukaryota; Metazoa; Chordata; Mammalia; Primates; Hominidae
Description: long non-coding RNA NONHSAT173679.1
Source: RNAcentral
GGAUUGGACCCUCGGAGGUAGAGAAUGCACUGAUGAAGCACCCUGCUGUGGUUGAGACGGCUGUGAUCAGCAGCCCAGACCCCGUCCGAGGAGAGGUGGUGAAGGCAUUUGUGAUCCUGGCCUCGCAGUUCCUAUCCCAUGACCCAGAACAGCUCACCAAGGAGCUGCAGCAGCAUGUGAAGUCAGUGACAGCCCCAUACAAGUACCCAAGAAAGAUAGAGUUUGUCUUGAACCUGCCCAAGACUGUCACAGGGAAAAUUCAACGAACCAAACUUCGAGACAAGGAGUGGAAGAUGUCCGGAAAAGCCCGUGCGCAGUGAGGCGUCUAGGAGACAUUCAUUUGGAUUCCCCUCUUCUUUCUCUUUCUUUUCCCUUUGGGCCCUUGGCCUUACUAUGAUGAUAUGAGAUUCUUUAUGAAAGAACAUGAAUGUAAGUUUUGUCUUGCCCUGGUUAUUAGCACAAAACAUUACUAUGUUAGAUAUUGAAAUAAGAAAGGGAAGGAAUGAGAGAGAGUGAAAAGGAGAGGGUAACAGAAAAAGAGGAAAGAAAAGUAAGUCAGGGAAAUGUUAAAAACUGCAAGAGAAAGCAAUUGAAAAAGAAAUAAAGUAGGGAGGGAAGGCGAGAGGAAGCAAGGGAAGGAGGAAGAAAGGAAAGAGGAGAUGAAAGGGGGAGAAAAGAUAGAAGAAAAAUAAUUGAAGGGAGAAUCAGAAAAAUAAAGAGAAGAAAGGAAAGAAAUAAAGAGAGAAAGAGAAAGAAGAAAGAGCAAAAGAACACAAGAAAGAAAGAGAGGGAGAAAGAGAGGGAGAAAGGGAGAGAAAAAAAUUGUAAAAAUAAAAAUAGUAAAAGAAACUGAUAAAGAAAAGUCAUGGAAGACAGGAAGAAAGGAAGAGAGGGAAGUAAAGAGGAAAACCUAUAAAUAUUCCCACAGAUAGACAAAGUCAAGCAUAAAACUGGAGCUUGAGAAGGAAAUGAAAGGAAAAGAAGUGGUACUUUCUUUUACCCUAGGAGAAGACCUCCAUACAGGAAGACUUGUGUGUGGGGCUGGGACAUUAGAAUCAUCCGCAAGUCACUCCAAACCUUGAAACUGUCAGGGUCAGAGGGGAACCACCAUUUAUUAAGCAUUUGCCAUGUGCCAGGCACUGACCCAGACACAUUAUAAAUACCACAUUGUUUCACCUGUGUGUGGCAUCUACAGACCUUAGAUCAUAGCUGUGAGAACAAAGUAAGCACUGCCAAAGUUAUCAGCUACCCAUACCUCAUGUUUUUGGUGUUAUCUACUCUUCCUAGAAUCAAAUAUUAAAAUAAUUUUAAA